RNAcentral lists this ribosomal RNA (866 nucleotides) under Enterococcus faecium. RNAcentral describes it as "partial 23S ribosomal RNA". It matches the Rfam family "Bacterial large subunit ribosomal RNA", at positions 153 to 1020 of the family's 2925-position model. The record is from RNAcentral. Lineage: Bacteria; Bacillati; Bacillota; Bacilli; Lactobacillales; Enterococcaceae.
AUUGUGUGAAUACAUAGCACAUUCGAGGUAGACGCAGAGAACUGAAACAUCUAAGUACCUGCAGGAAGAGAAAGAAAAUUCGAUUCCCUGAGUAGCGGCGAGCGAAACGGGAAAAGCCCAAACCAGCAAGCUUGCUUGUUGGGGUUGUAGGACUCCAAUAUGGUAGUUCUUUCAGAUAGUCGAAUGACUUGGAAAAGUCAGUCAAAGAGGGUAAAAACCCCGUAGACGAAAUGUGGAAGACACCUAGGAGGAUCCUGAGUACGGCGGAACACGAGAAAUUCCGUCGGAAUCCGGGAGGACCAUCUCCCAAGGCUAAAUACUCCCUAGUGACCGAUAGUGAACCAGUACCGUGAGGGAAAGGUGAAAAGCACCCCGGAAGGGGAGUGAAAUAGAACCUGAAACCGUGUGCCUACAACAAGUCAAAGCCCGUUAAUGGGUGAUGGCGUGCCUUUUGUAGAAUGAACCGGCGAGUUACGAUUGCAUGCGAGGUUAAGUUGAAGAGACGGAGCCGCAGCGAAAGCGAGUCUGAAUAGGGCGUUUGAGUAUGUAGUCGUAGACCCGAAACCAUGUGAUCUACCCAUGUCCAGGUUGAAGGUGCGGUAAAACGCACUGGAGGACCGAACCCACGUACGUUGAAAAGUGCGGGGAUGAGGUGUGGGUAGCGGAGAAAUUCCAAACGAACUUGGAGAUAGCUGGUUCUCUCCGAAAUAGCUUUAGGGCUAGCCUCGGAAUUGAGAAUGAUGGAGGUAGAGCACUGUUUGGACUAGGGGCCCAUCUCGGGUUACCGAAUUCAGAUAAACUCCGAAUGCCAUUCAUUCAUAUCCGGGAGUCAGACUGUGAGUGAUAAGAUCCAUAGUCGAAAGGGA